Molecule: long non-coding RNA, 102 nt
Organism: Dipodomys spectabilis (banner-tailed kangaroo rat)
Lineage: Eukaryota; Metazoa; Chordata; Mammalia; Rodentia; Heteromyidae
Exons: 3
Source: RefSeq, a predicted model, not a curated record
UUGUCCAAAACAGACAGGCCCAUCCACAGGAAUACCCAGCUGCCACAUGCUACAGAAAAGGCCACCUCAUUAACCCACAUAAAGUGGCGCUUUGAGGCCUGG